UUUUUAUGUUAGAUAAUAAAAAGCUUGCUUCUUUGGAAAAGUCUAAGGAUCGGAGUCCUGUGAUGCAGCUUUAUGCAAAAGAUGCAUCAAAGAAUUGGAAGCUUGUUGGAUCAGAUGGAGGCUACCUUUUGACAACAAAAGAGCCAUCAGCAAAUGUGGUCCUAUUGGAUUAUAUUUCAACUGAAAAAUGGCAAGACGUGGUAGAUUUUGAUGACCACCUUGAUGACAUUAGCAAAGAUUGGCUAAACCCAGAGCUCUUCAAGUAAUUUGGCCAUGUUAGCAUUUUUUGUCACUCGACUAUCGUUGAAAGUGUCUGGGAUUCAUGCAUGCUUUACCGAGUUGUUCACAAUGGAUUUAAGGCUCUACAAAGGCUUGACUAGUCAUCAAGUUGAUUGACUCAUUCUGGGAAAUGUUUGCUUCGAGAUACAUUCCAUCUUUUAAGUGGUCUCCCAGCUUGACUUUUUUUUUUUAUCUGUUAUAAACUCAAAUAGUGUCUGAUUCUUUAAAGCAUUUGAAGUAAUUUCAUAGCUGGUAGAAUUUGAAUUCAAGCCCAAGUAUUUUUGUGUUUUGUUUACUAAAUAUUCUAGGUAAAAAAUCUGUAAGAGUGGUAAGUAAAUGAAACAUGGUUUUAUCAUUUUCAAUAAGAGUUUGAAGCUACGUUCUAGCA
Long non-coding RNA from Humulus lupulus (European hop), 667 nucleotides. RefSeq lists it as uncharacterized. Lineage: Eukaryota; Viridiplantae; Streptophyta; Magnoliopsida; Rosales; Cannabaceae. The transcript is spliced from 3 exons. The record is from RefSeq and is a predicted model, not a curated record.